Molecule: transfer RNA, 73 nt
Filed under: Bos taurus (domestic cattle)
Lineage: Eukaryota; Metazoa; Chordata; Mammalia; Artiodactyla; Bovidae
Also listed under: 3 other names
Rfam family: tRNA
About the family: Transfer RNA (tRNA) molecules are approximately 80 nucleotides in length. Their secondary structure includes four short double-helical elements and three loops (D, anti-codon, and T loops).
Source: Rfam by way of RNAcentral
UCCCUGGUAGCUCAGCUGGUAAAGAAUCUGCCUGCAAUGCAGGAGAUCCCAGUUCGAGCUCUGGGUCAGGAAG